GGGAAUGUGGCUUAGUGGUAGAGUGCUUGCCUAGCAUGCAUGAAUCCCUGGGUUCAAUUCCGCAGUACCA
Molecule: transfer RNA, 70 nt
Filed under: Dipodomys ordii (Ord's kangaroo rat)
Lineage: Eukaryota; Metazoa; Chordata; Mammalia; Rodentia; Heteromyidae
Rfam family: tRNA
About the family: Transfer RNA (tRNA) molecules are approximately 80 nucleotides in length.
Source: Rfam by way of RNAcentral